ACAUGGGUAGUUGGUGGUAAAAUUCUCACCUUCCACGUGGAAGACCCAGGUUCCAUUCCUAGCCAAUGCA
Molecule: transfer RNA, 70 nt
Filed under: Loxodonta africana (African savanna elephant)
Lineage: Eukaryota; Metazoa; Chordata; Mammalia; Proboscidea; Elephantidae
Rfam family: tRNA
About the family: Transfer RNA (tRNA) molecules are approximately 80 nucleotides in length. Their secondary structure includes four short double-helical elements and three loops (D, anti-codon, and T loops). Further hydrogen bonds mediate the characteristic L-shaped molecular structure. tRNAs have two regions of fundamental functional importance: the anti-codon, which is responsible for specific mRNA codon recognition, and the 3' end, to which the tRNAs corresponding amino acid is attached (by aminoacyl-tRNA synthetases). tRNAs cope with the degeneracy of the genetic code in two manners: having more than one tRNA (with a specific anti-codon) for a particular amino acid; and 'wobble' base-pairing, i.e. permitting non-standard base-pairing at the 3rd anti-codon position.
Source: Rfam by way of RNAcentral